Long non-coding RNA from Eriocheir sinensis (Chinese mitten crab), 664 nucleotides. RefSeq lists it as uncharacterized. NCBI's taxonomy places the organism in Eukaryota, Metazoa, Arthropoda, Malacostraca, Decapoda, Varunidae. The record is from RefSeq and is a predicted model, not a curated record. The transcript has 4 exons.
AAAUUAACCCUUCCCGAGGCUCCCCAAGGUAAAUUUAAGGUAGAUUUCCCUUAAAUAAAGCACUCUAGGGUAAGGUAAGGCAUUUAAAAUAUAUAUAAUGUUAAAUUUAUACCUGUGAUUAUGUUAUUUUAGGCAUUUCUAAGGUAAAUUAACCCUUCCUGAGGCUCCCUAAGGUAAAUUUAAGGUAGAUUUCCCUUAAAUAAAGCACUCUAGGGUAAGGUAAGGCAUUUAAAAUAUAUAUAAUGUUAAAUUUAUACCUGUGAUUAUGUUAUUUUAGGCAUUUCUAAGGUAAAUUAACCCUUCCUGAGGCUCCCUAAGGUAAAUUUAAGGUAGAUUUCCCUUAAAAUAGCACUGUAGGGCAAGGUAAGGCGUUUAAACAAUAUAUAAUGUAAAAUAUAAGGAAAUGGUCUUAUAUAGAUUAAAAAGGUAAAGUAUGUAAAUAAAAAUGAAGGAUAUAGUUUAAUUGUGAUAUUCUAUUCUAUUAUCUAUUGCAGGGAAGGUCAGGUUAUUAAUAAAUAGCGAGAUAUUAGUGAAGGGAUUAUCUAUGUGAUGGUGCGUUAUCGUACAUCUGACACAUCCAUCUGAAUGUAAACAAGAGAUUGUGAGGCCUUUCCUAACGUCCUCCAUCUGGUCCACCCCCCCCCCUUCCCCCCAUCUCUCUCUC